This 70-nucleotide transfer RNA is filed under the name Peltoperlopsis cebuano. Its description in RNAcentral is "tRNA-Ser". It matches the Rfam family "tRNA". From Rfam's summary of the family: Transfer RNA (tRNA) molecules are approximately 80 nucleotides in length. Their secondary structure includes four short double-helical elements and three loops (D, anti-codon, and T loops). Lineage: Eukaryota; Metazoa; Arthropoda; Insecta; Plecoptera; Peltoperlidae. The record is from RNAcentral.
AGUUAAUUAGCUUAUUGAAAAGCCCAUGUUUUGAAAACAUAAGACAAAGGUUUGAAUCCUUUAUUAACUU